RNAcentral lists this transfer RNA (67 nucleotides) under Ptiliidae sp. BMNH 1274724. RNAcentral describes it as "tRNA-Ile". Lineage: Eukaryota; Metazoa; Arthropoda; Insecta; Coleoptera; Ptiliidae. The record is from RNAcentral.
AAUGAAAUGCCUGAAAAAGGAUUAUCUUGAUAGGAUAAAUUAUAUAAAUAAUUAUUUAUUUUCAUUA